CAGUCGCCGCGGGAAUACAGAGGGUGCAAGCGUUAAUCGGAAUUACUGGGCGUAAAGCGCGCGUAGGUGGUUUGUUAAGUUGGAUGUGAAAUCCCCGGGCUCAACCUGGGAACUGCAUUCAAGACUGACUGACUAGAGUAUGGUAGAGGGUGGUGGAAUUUCCUGUGUAGCGGUGAAAUGCGUAGAUAUAGGAAGGAACACCAGUGGCGAAGGCGACCACCUGGACUAAUACUGACACUGAGGUGCGAAAGCGUGGGGAGCAAACAGGAUUAGAUACCCGCGUAGUCCCUGUCUCUUAUAC
This 301-nucleotide ribosomal RNA is filed under the name uncultured bacterium. RNAcentral's name for it is "partial 16S ribosomal RNA". It matches the Rfam family "Bacterial small subunit ribosomal RNA", at positions 509 to 807 of the family's 1533-position model. The record is from RNAcentral.